Molecule: ribosomal RNA, 110 nt
Filed under: Paramormyrops kingsleyae
Lineage: Eukaryota; Metazoa; Chordata; Actinopteri; Osteoglossiformes; Mormyridae
Source: RNAcentral
CCAGGCCCAUACUACCUGCAGUUCAGACUAAUCCAUCUGAAACUAAGCAUGUCUGGGCCUGACCAGUAUGUGGAUGGGAGACCAACUAAGAAAGCUGGGUUGCUGCUGGA